Molecule: non-coding RNA, 77 nt
Organism: Potamilus streckersoni
Lineage: Eukaryota; Metazoa; Mollusca; Bivalvia; Unionida; Unionidae
Source: the annotation of a GenBank genome assembly
GUUCCGGUGGCUUAGUGGUCAAAGCGUCCACCUUGUAUGCGGGAGGUUGUGGGUUCGAAUCGGAGCCGAGUCGUACA